UGGCGUACGGGUGAGUAACGCGUGGGUGACCUACCCUGGGAUCUGGGAUAACACUGCGAAAGUGGUGCUAAUACCGGAUACGAUCCUGCAGCGAUGCAGGGUGAAAGUCGGCCUCUCGAAGAAGCUGAUGUUCUGGGAUGGGCUCGCGUCCUAUCAGCUAGUUGGUAGGGUAAUGGCCUACCAAGGCGACGACGGGUAGCUGGUCUGAGAGGAUGAUCAGCCACACUGGCACUGAAACACGGGCCAGACUCCUACGGGAGGCAGCAGUGAGGAAUUUUGCGCAAUGGGGGAAACCCUGACGCAGCAACGCCGCGUGGGUGAAGGAGGCCUUCGGGUCGUAAAGCCCUGUCAGGUGGGAAGAAUGUCCCAGGGGUGAACAAUUUUUGGGAGUGACGGUACCACCAGAGGAAGCACCGGCUAACUCCGUGCCAGCAGCCGCGGUAAUACGGAGGGUGCGAGCGUUGUUCGGAAUCAUUGGGCGUAAAGGGCGUGCAGGCGGCUGGGUAAGUCUGAUGUGAAAGCCCGGGGCUCAACCCCGGAAGAGCAUUGGAAACUGCCUAGCUUGAGUACCGGAGAGGAUGGGGGAAUUCCCGGUGUAGAGGUGAAAUUCGUAGAGAUCGGGAGGAAUACCAGUGGCGAAGGCGCCCAUCUGGACGGAUACUGACGCUGAGACGCGAAAGCGUGGGGAGCAAACAGGAUUAGAUACCCUGGUAGUCCACGCUGUAAACGAUGAGCACUAGGUGUAGCGGGUAUUGACCCCUGCUGUGCCGCAGCUAACGCAUUAAGUGCUCCGCCUGGGGAUUACGGUCGCAAGACUAAACUCAAGGAAUUGACGGGGGCCCGCACAAGCGGCGGAGCAUGUGGUUUAAUUCG
RNAcentral lists this ribosomal RNA (873 nucleotides) under uncultured bacterium. RNAcentral describes it as "bacterial SSU rRNA". It matches the Rfam family "Bacterial small subunit ribosomal RNA", at positions 96 to 953 of the family's 1533-position model. The record is from RNAcentral.